UGUGGGGACCCGCAGCUGCCCCAGCCUGGCACUGCCACCCCAGCCCUGCCCUGAAACUGGGAGUGCUCAGGUGCUGGGACAGAGCCAUGGAUGCUGGGGGUCCCGUGUUCAUUUCUGGCCCUGCAGUGUGGCUGUGCCUGUGCUUCCAGGCAGACCUGCUGCUCCUUGUGCCUCUGCUGUCCUGGCUGCUGUGCCAGGGUGGCAGUGACAGAGCUCUUUGUGUCCACCUCAGCCCUGUGUGCUGGGAGGAGGUGUCUGAGCAGCCCUUGGCUACGCUGGCAAGGAGACCUGCUGGAGCUGCCUGUGCGGGUGGCUCUGCCUUGCUGCCACUGCCCCCAGACAGGGCUGGGACUGGGGCUGCCCCCACCCCAACUGGGAUCUCUGGGGAAACUGGGGAUGGAGGCACCAGCCUUCUCUGCGGGUCUGGGAAAAGCAUGUCUGUGGCACCCAUUCCUCUGCCAGCAGUGCCGGGGAUCAUGACAGCUCACUCUCCCUAUCCUUCUGUUUCUAGAUGAGUUUGCCACACAGGAAUACAGUGCUCCCUGCACCACAGAGGAAGCAGACCAGGGAAAUGACUGAAGAACACUCCCAGAUGCUGGAACCUGCCUGCCUCACCACCACCACCACCACAGCAUGACAUUAAUAAUGCCUGCAUGGAAUGGAAAGUGAACUUUACAAAUAAAUUAACUGUACUCACCAAUGAUUUUUGAACAGUUUGUUCCCCAUUCUGAUUUUUCCUGCUCGUUUUUCUGUCACAGCUUUAAUUUCCCUGGCUUCUUAGGUUAAAGAGUAACCCAUCUAACAAUGCCUGUGUGCAGGGAAAUAAGGCUAACAAGUGAGGGGGAAAAAAAGAGGACAGAAUUAUCUAAGUGGGGGUCAGCCUUUCUAAUGUAUCUGUCUCUGUGUUAUGAUCUCUGAAGUUAUCAUCUGUAUGCAGUCUAAUCAAUGGAGAAGGACAGGUAGUUCUUGGGAACAAUUUCUCUCCCCUGGCUUACAAACCAUAUCCUCCAUUGAAUUGGUCUCUGCAGAGGCCUAUCCAUGCCUCCUGCCAUUAGGCAGCCUGGAAGAUCAACUAAUGUUACAUGAAAUUCAGCCUCUGUUAUCUCCCCUGUAGACACCCCUCCUGGGAUGGUUUCUUGUUUGUAGAAGAGUGGAAGGAGACAGAGUCUGCACUCCUCAAUGAUUAGAGAGUGCCAGGGGGACAGGAGGGAUGUGUGCCUGCAUUAUGCCUUCAGCUGCUGCCUUACAAUGCUUGUUCCUCCUUGUGGAAGUUUCCAUUGUCUCAUGUCUGCUACUUCUGGGAGAUUCCCAAGGAGAAGCUAAUGGCAUUUGCCACUAACCUACCUGCCUAAGCCUAGUUUAAAUGGUACAUUCAUUUAAAUCACAUAGCUCCCUUGAUGAAACUGUCUAUAGGCCUCUUAGGCACCCCCAGGAAUGAUCCCCCUUUCUUCGUUUUGUCUCAAGAAUUUGUGGUUUUAACUUUUGAAUGCAAAAAAUCUUAUGAGCCUGUUUAUUCUCAUUAAAUGCUUACUGUUAGGUAUCAUGGCAUGUUGUGCAUCCAAAGUAUGCACAGUUGGCUGUUUCAUCCAAUUUUUGGUUUAGUGUACCUGCACAAACAGUGUCAUUGAGAACAAAUAAAAUUCUUCAUCUAUUUUGGUAGA
Long non-coding RNA from Pyrgilauda ruficollis (rufous-necked snowfinch), 1661 nucleotides. RefSeq lists it as uncharacterized. The transcript has 2 exons. The record is from RefSeq and is a predicted model, not a curated record. NCBI's taxonomy places the organism in Eukaryota, Metazoa, Chordata, Aves, Passeriformes, Passeridae.